GAUGAACGCUGGCGGCGUGCCUAAUACAUGCAAGUCGAGCGAACGGACGAGAAGCUUGCUUCUCUGAUGUUAGCGGCGGACGGGUGAGUAACACGUGGAUAACCUACCUAUAAGACUGGGAUAACUUCGGGAAACCGGAGCUAAUACCGGAUAAUAUUUUGAACCGCAUGGUUCAAAAGUGAAAGACUGUCUUUCUGUCACUUAUAGAUGGAUCCGCGCUGCAUUAGCUAGUUGGUAAGGUAACGGCUUACCAAGGCAACGAUGCAUAGCCGACCUGAGAGGGUGAUCGGCCAGCCUGGAACUGAGACACGGCCCAGACUCCUACGGGAGGCAACAGUAGGGAAUCUUCCGCAAUGGGCGAAAGCCUGACGGAGCAACGCCGCGUGAGUGAUGAAGGUCUUCGGAUCGUAAAACUCUGUUAUUAGGGAAGAACAUAUGUGUAAGUAACUGUGCACAUCUUGACGGUACCUAAUCAGAAAGCCACGGCUAACUACGUG
Molecule: ribosomal RNA, 497 nt
Filed under: uncultured bacterium
Lineage: Bacteria
Description: partial 16S ribosomal RNA
Rfam family: Bacterial small subunit ribosomal RNA
Source: RNAcentral